Molecule: long non-coding RNA, 274 nt
Filed under: Lathyrus oleraceus (garden pea)
Lineage: Eukaryota; Viridiplantae; Streptophyta; Magnoliopsida; Fabales; Fabaceae
Description: Pisum sativum (pea) long non-coding RNA (PSAT_LNC006638)
Source: RNAcentral
UUUUUUUCCCGGUAGAAGCGGAUGUUUCUACACAGUUUUUCUUUUUUCUUAUUUUUUCAUCUUUCUUUUCCUUGCACUUGCCCUUUUUUCAACAUUUUUUUCUACGGAGUAAUACCCCAAACUUAUCUUUUUGCACAAGUUUUACACUACAACAGUCAUGCCGAGCGAGGGUAGGAAGUGUAUGGCUAAUGGUUAACAUGAUGGUUCACACAAACAAAAGGGUAUAGGCUCAACAGGGUUAGCAACAGAUGAAAACAACAUUAUGGGUGGCUAG